AGCAGCCGCGGUAAUUCCAGCUCCAAUAGCGUAUAUUAAAGUUGUUGCAGUUAAAAAGCUCGUAGUUGAAUUUCGGGAUCAAUUUAUUGGUCGUGCUAUUGUACGUACUGGUAUUAUUGAUUCCUACCUUCUGACGAACCACGAUGUCAUUAAUUUGGUGCCAUGGGGAAUCAGGACUGUUACUUUGAAAAAAUUAGAGUGUUUAAAGCAGGCUCACGCUUGAAUACAUUAGCAUGGAAUAACGAAAUAGGACGUUUGAUUCUAUUUUGUUGGUUUCUAGGAUCGACGUAAUGAUUAAUAGGGAUAGUUGGGGGCAUUAGUAUUCAAUUGUCAGAGGUGAAAUUCUUGGAUUUAUUGAAGACUAACUACUGCGAAAGCAUUUGCCAAGGAUGUUUUCAUUAAUCAAGAACGAAAGUUAGGGGAUCGAAGACGAUCAGAUACCGUCGUAGUCUUAACCAUAAACUAUGCCGACUAGGGAUCGGAUGAUGUUAAUUUUUAAUGACUCAUUCGGCGCCUUAAC
This 520-nucleotide ribosomal RNA is filed under the name uncultured Glomus. RNAcentral describes it as "SSU rRNA". It matches the Rfam family "Eukaryotic small subunit ribosomal RNA", at positions 569 to 1092 of the family's 1831-position model. The record is from RNAcentral. Lineage: Eukaryota; Fungi; Glomeromycota; Glomeromycetes; Glomerales; Glomeraceae.